RNAcentral lists this long non-coding RNA (533 nucleotides) under Capra hircus (goat). RNAcentral describes it as "lncRNA (ENSCHIG00000002740.1)". Lineage: Eukaryota; Metazoa; Chordata; Mammalia; Artiodactyla; Bovidae. The record is from RNAcentral.
CCAGCCUUUCUGUUAUGCUGUGACUUGUGUCCUUCUCUGGCUAAUGUGCCCCUAGCAUACUGCCCAGCCAAAUCCGUAUUGUCCAGGAAACCAUGGCACACAUCAUGAAUGACUGUGGUCCCUAAUCAUCAGGACUUAUUACAUAGAGCAGAAGGGACUGUCCCCGUUUAAGGGGAAGAAAUGCCAGAGUUCUUUCAUCAGGCUGGGCUAAUGUUGAGGGUCAGCCCUGGCAGUCUGGGAGCAAGAAGCCUCCCCGAAUCGUCUGGGGGUUAGUGCUCCAGCACAGGGCUCAGACAAGUUCUUUUGUGAAAAAUAUCUGUCCACAAGCUUCUUUUCUGAAGCAAGAGCUCUCCUGUUCCAAGGCUGUUGACUGCUGAGGCCAGAGCCUGUAUCAGAGGUGGAGGAAACUUUAGGCAAAGGGAAGUAAAACAUAGCCUUGUGCUUUUAGAGAUUCAGUUUGAUUUGGAUUUGCUUCAUUGCGAUUCAGUUCAACUCAGUUCCCUUGUGCUCCUGGUACUUCAGUGCUACUUGGG